Molecule: ribosomal RNA, 498 nt
Filed under: uncultured bacterium
Lineage: Bacteria
Description: bacterial SSU rRNA
Rfam family: Bacterial small subunit ribosomal RNA
Source: RNAcentral
UCCCUCGGGAUGUAAACUUCGCAAGAAUGGGAAGAAUUAGCGAACGCCAAUACCGUUCGUGAUGACGGUACCAUUUGUAAGCUCCGGCUAACUCCGUGCCAGCAGCCGCGGUAAUACGGGGGGAGCAAGCGUUGUUCGGAUUUACUGGGCGUAAAGGGCGCGUAGGCGGCCAGCGCAAGUCGGUUGUGAAAUCUCCGGGCUUAACUCGGAAAGGUCAACUGAUACUGCGCGGCUAGAGUGCGGAAGGGGCAACUGGAAUUCUCGGUGUAGCGGUGAAAUGCGUAGAUAUCGAGAGGAACACCUGCGGCGAAGGCGGGUUGCUGGGCCGACACUGACGCUGAGGCGCGAAAGCCAGGGGAGCGAACGGGAUUAGAUACCCCGGUAGUCCUGGCCUUAAACGAUGGAUGCUUGGUGUCUGGGGUUUAUAGUCCCCGGGUGCCGUAGCUAACGCGUUAAGCAUCCCGCCUGGGGAGUACGGUCGCAAGACUGAAACUCAAA